RNAcentral lists this ribosomal RNA (226 nucleotides) under uncultured bacterium. Its description in RNAcentral is "partial 16S ribosomal RNA". It matches the Rfam family "Bacterial small subunit ribosomal RNA", at positions 15 to 236 of the family's 1533-position model. The record is from RNAcentral.
GAUCCUGGCUCAGGAUGAACGCUGGCGGCGUGCUUAACACAUGCAAGUCGAACGGACGAUGAAGAGCUUGCUUUUCAGAGUUAGUGGCGGACGGGUGAGUAACGCGUGGGUAACCUGCCUCAUACAGGGGGAUAGCAGGCUGGAAACGGCUGAUAAACCGCAUAACGCGCACAGCAUCGCAUGAUGCAAGUGUGAAAAACUCCGGUGGUAUGAGAUGGACCCGCGU